Molecule: small nuclear RNA, 105 nt
Organism: Pipistrellus kuhlii (Kuhl's pipistrelle)
Lineage: Eukaryota; Metazoa; Chordata; Mammalia; Chiroptera; Vespertilionidae
Source: RefSeq, a predicted model, not a curated record
GUGCUCACUUUAGCAACACAUAUAUUUUAAUUAGAACAAUACAGAAAAGAUUAGCAUGGCCUAUGCACAAGUAUGACACAAAUUCAUGAAGCGUUUCAUAUUUAA